GGGCGUAUAGCUCAGGGGUAGAGCAUUUGACUGCAGAUCAAGAGGUCCCCAGUUCAAAUCUGGGUGCCCA
RNAcentral lists this transfer RNA (70 nucleotides) under Homo sapiens (human). Its description in RNAcentral is "tRNA-Cys (anticodon GCA) 22-1 (TRC-GCA22-1)". It matches the Rfam family "tRNA". Rfam says of the family: Transfer RNA (tRNA) molecules are approximately 80 nucleotides in length. Their secondary structure includes four short double-helical elements and three loops (D, anti-codon, and T loops). Lineage: Eukaryota; Metazoa; Chordata; Mammalia; Primates; Hominidae. The record is from Rfam by way of RNAcentral.